UCCGGUUUGUCACCGGCAGUCUCCUUAGAGUUCCCGCCAUUACGCGCUGGCAACUAAGGACAAGGGUUGCGCUCGUUGCGGGACUUAACCCAACAUCUCACGACACGAGCUGACGACAGCCAUGCAGCACCUGUCUCCAGGUUCCCGAAGGCACCCCCACAUCUCUGCAGGGUUCCUGGGAUGUCAAGCCCAGGUAAGGUUCUUCGCGUUGCGUCGAAUUGAACCACAUGUUCCACCGCUUGUGCGGGCCCCCGUCAAUUCCUUUGAGUUUCAGCCUUGCGGCCGUACUCCCCAGGCGGGGCACUUAAUGCGUUAGCGCCGGCCCUCAGGGGGUCGCUCCCCCAAGGACCUAGUGCCCAUCGUUUACGGCGUGGACUAC
Molecule: unclassified non-coding RNA, 379 nt
Filed under: uncultured bacterium
Lineage: Bacteria
Description: contains 16S-23S intergenic spacer region
Source: RNAcentral